UGAACGCUGUGUCUGUUGAUCUGCAGUGCAACACACAGUAACGGGUGACACCGAGUUCUUUGAGUUUCUGGUUUUAGAUCAGAUCAUUUGACAUGUUUGGGCAUAACAAAGGGUGUCAACCUCAGCCAUUGCCAGGAGGAUGUCCACCAGGCCCUGCCCCACCACCUUCAUGUCCACCUCAGCCUGGUCCAUUUGGAUGCUGUCCAGUGACCUCACCUUGUGGAGAAUCUGGAGGUCAUGGUUACGUGGUAGGGCCUGGUUGCAGAUCUACUCAAGGACAUGGCGAUGGCCACGGUCACGGGCAUGGGCAUCAUGGUCACAGACAUCAUGGUCAUGUCAUUACUUUGUCUGGGGUUUGCACAGUUGUUAUGCCAGUCUCAUCAAUAUUCCAUAUGUCAUUUACAGUUAAGUUGUGUCUCUUUAACACUUCAUCAAAUUUUUUGAAAAACAUUCCACAAUUGUUUUUAUUAAAACUGGUGGCCGAUGUCAGACUUGAAGCUUCGGGACAUCUAAUGGACAAAGUUGGGUUUCUUUUCAUGUAGGCUAAGAACCAGUCUGGUCCAGCCCUCGAGAAUUUGCCCCAUGAUAUUUGGAUCAAUGUUUCACUGCAAGCUGAUAUGCCAGUUGUUUUACCUGUAAUUUUAAUCACAAAAUAUGUCAAUAUUUCUGAUAUAAUAUAUUUUAAAUUGCCACCAUUACAAUUUUCUAACUUUCCCUUGUCUUAUCCUUUAUCAAUUCUUAUCUGCUUACCUCACGUGGACAUAGUCCAUAAAAUGCAUCUGCAGCCCUUAUCAGGUAUUCUGUUAAUUGUUUCUCUAGUUCAUCAGUGAAGACCUUCUUUCCACUAUGGUAUCCUACAUGUGGGAGUUUCCUUGAUCCCUGAUCUUCCAGAUUUUUAAUUUCUUUACAAGAUCUGUGCAAAGUGACAUGGGAAAUGCCAUACAAUUUUGCCAGAGAUCUGUUGGACUUUCCCUGAUUUCUAACAUCAUUUGAUGCUCCAUCCAAAAUACUGAGGCACCCCUCAGUCAGUCUUUCUUUUCCACAACCUAAGCAUACUGUAAUUCAAAGAAAAAAAAAAAAGAGUUAAAGUAAUAGUGGGGUAAGUUGUAACAUUUCCAUGGUUGUUACAACUAACCCAGACUGUUGCUGUUACAAUUUACCCAGACUCCUAUAGCCACGAUAUGGCUAACAUUACAGCUAACGGCUAAAACAUUAACACUAAAGACAUGCAGAGAAUAUAUCUCCAUAGACAUACAAAUAACAUGAUUUAAGUUCGAUGAGUUUAACUGCAAAGCAGAUAAUGCUAUCAGGAAAUUAAAUAAAGCAAGAAAAAAAAACAACAACUUACUUUUUGACUUACAAAUUAGUUUUUUUCUUCUUAAAUUGUCUGUGUUUGUCAAAGGGUGCUGACUUUUCACAAGUGAUAGAAGAACUGAAUUGGGCAUGUACAGAAUGAAUCACAUGAUUUGAAACUUAGCCCUGAUUGGAGAAAUUAGAAGUGUUACAACUGACCCAUGUUAUGACUAUCCCCGGUCUCCCCUAAUCUCUUACUUUACUCAUUACUUUAAAAAAGUAAUCAGUAGUUACACGUUACAGCCCAUCUCUGUUGGGGACACACUGUGGGACAGCACAAGGACCCCAUAUAAGAUAAUGAGGAUUAUUCUGAACGUGAAAUUAUGCGAAGCUAUACUCUUGUAGAGAGCAGAAUAAGUUUAAUCUAAAUGACCCUGAAGUUAAUACACCUGUUCUACAUUGUUUUAAAACAUUUUAAUGCAGAGAACUUAAAAUAAAAAAAGCUUUCAUCACCGUGCUUGAUCAGG
This is a long non-coding RNA of Oreochromis niloticus (Nile tilapia), 1820 nucleotides long. RefSeq lists it as uncharacterized. The transcript is spliced from 3 exons. The record is from RefSeq and is a predicted model, not a curated record. NCBI's taxonomy places the organism in Eukaryota, Metazoa, Chordata, Actinopteri, Cichliformes, Cichlidae.